Lolium perenne is the source of this 989-nucleotide non-coding RNA. The record is from RefSeq and is a predicted model, not a curated record. NCBI's taxonomy places the organism in Eukaryota, Viridiplantae, Streptophyta, Magnoliopsida, Poales, Poaceae.
GCCUAUAUCCCCACGGGGCCGGAUGCCCUUCCAACCCAUGUCUAUGCGGAUCCUAUUGAGAUGACCAUGAAAGAGCUCAACGGGGUUGAUCGCUUCGUUGAUAUGGACAAAAGGUUUAUCUUCUUCUGGCUUGUGACAAGCUUUGUUGGUUUCUGUUGAUUGCAAUUGUCUGGUGCUUCGCAACUCCUAGGUAGUCUACUCUCGAGUCAUGGUUGCAGCGCCCAGUUCGACGAGGUGCAGUGCCCCAAGUGCCCAGGAUGGCCCCUCAACCUGCUCGUGAGGUGGGUGGGAGAUGGAGGUGCCGCUAACUUCCUCAUCCACAACAUCAGGCUUUCUGAGGCGGCCCUCCGCUCUCGCUCAAGCCACUGCAGCCUCGAGGAUCAAAUCUUCCUAGGGGAAAUGUCCACAAGCAGAGAAGGGAUGGCACGACCUGUGCGGAGGCAGUCGUCGUCAUCCUUGGCAUCCAGCUGAGCGCCUCGCCAGAGAGGCAACCUCGGGUGGGAGAAGGAACAACAUCACGUCGAGAAGGAGGGGCCAUCACACGAUGCGUUGUGGAUCACAAGGAUAAAUGUGACCAAAUUGUUCAUGGUAGGACAUGUUCAAAGUCAUGAUAAAAGCGACCAAAUUGUCAAAAACCGUGAUGUUCGCUUUGUGUUUAGGAGCACAAGAUCCAUGCAGGUGAGUCAUGCAAAGCUAAUACAAGAUGGUGCGCUCGAAAUGGAGGAUUUAAUUUGGUAUACGACUAUAUGUUAUAGAAGCUUGCCAAAAACAAGCACAAUAGCAGAAAUCAAAUGAAAAUUACUCUAGGUGGAAGAAGCUACUACUCCAGGCCUGACUGAAAGAAAGAAGUAUUUUAUACCUUAGUUGGAUUUAAUUACUACCAUUGAUAUCUUCUUUCACCGACUUGACAGGUUAUUUACGAUAUAAGCUGCCUCAUAUGAUUCAAAUUUACCGUUCUGCUAUAAAUUAUAUGUGCUGACGUUUUUAUG